RNAcentral lists this ribosomal RNA (659 nucleotides) under Enterobacter hormaechei subsp. xiangfangensis. RNAcentral describes it as "partial 23S ribosomal RNA". It matches the Rfam family "Bacterial large subunit ribosomal RNA", at positions 2259 to 2912 of the family's 2925-position model. Lineage: Bacteria; Pseudomonadati; Pseudomonadota; Gammaproteobacteria; Enterobacterales; Enterobacteriaceae. The record is from RNAcentral.
UGGUGGGUAGUUUGACUGGGGCGGUCUCCUCCCAAAGAGUAACGGAGGAGCACGAAGGUUGGCUAAUCCUGGUCGGACAUCAGGAGGUUAGUGCAAUGGCAUAAGCCAGCUUGACUGCGAGCGUGACGGCGCGAGCAGGUGCGAAAGCAGGUCAUAGUGAUCCGGUGGUUCUGAAUGGAAGGGCCAUCGCUCAACGGAUAAAAGGUACUCCGGGGAUAACAGGCUGAUACCGCCCAAGAGUUCAUAUCGACGGCGGUGUUUGGCACCUCGAUGUCGGCUCAUCACAUCCUGGGGCUGAAGUAGGUCCCAAGGGUAUGGCUGUUCGCCAUUUAAAGUGGUACGCGAGCUGGGUUUAGAACGUCGUGAGACAGUUCGGUCCCUAUCUGCCGUGGGCGCUGGAGAAUUGAGGGGGGCUGCUCCUAGUACGAGAGGACCGGAGUGGACGCAUCACUGGUGUUCGGGUUGUCAUGCCAAUGGCACUGCCCGGUAGCUAAAUGCGGAAGAGAUAAGUGCUGAAAGCAUCUAAGCACGAAACUUGCCCCGAGAUGAGUUCUCCCUGAGACUUUAAGUCUCCUGAAGGAACGUUGAAGACGACGACGUUGAUAGGUCGGGUGUGUAAGCGCAGCGAUGCGUUGAGCUAACCGAUACUAAUGAACCGU